Molecule: long non-coding RNA, 259 nt
Filed under: Citrus sinensis (sweet orange)
Lineage: Eukaryota; Viridiplantae; Streptophyta; Magnoliopsida; Sapindales; Rutaceae
Description: long non-coding RNA (CSIN_LNC003368)
Source: RNAcentral
UUUGUUUGUUUUGAAAAACAAGUCCCUUCUGCCGAACUGGAAUUUUUUUCAUCUUCAUAAUUCCCUUAUGCCGAGCUGGAAUUUUUCUGACCGAGUCUCCGUUUGUUCCCAUAAUGGCGGCGAGAAUCCGACCGAGUCUCGACGACAGCUCAUUGCUACGACUCGCGACUGCGUCCCUUGAGUCUCUAUCCGAAAUCCAAAUGCUGACGAAGAGGGCCGCCUCCACGAACGGUUCUGAAAUCACGCCGUGCGUUGAUGA